This 506-nucleotide ribosomal RNA is filed under the name uncultured bacterium. Its description in RNAcentral is "partial 16S ribosomal RNA". It matches the Rfam family "Bacterial small subunit ribosomal RNA", at positions 28 to 523 of the family's 1533-position model. The record is from RNAcentral.
GAUGAACGCUAGCUACAGGCUUAACACAUGCAAGUCGAGGGGUAACGAGAGGAAAGCUUGCUUUCCUUGUCGACGACCGGCGCACGGGUGAGUAACGCGUAUCCAACCUGCCCCCAACUAAGGAAUAACCUUGCGAAAGUAAGACUAAUACCUUAUAAUUUCCUCAGAUGUCAUCUGACGAGGAAUAAAGAUUUAUCGGUUGUGGAUGGGGAUGCGUCUGAUUAGCUUGUUGGCGGGGUAACGGCCCACCAAGGCAACGAUCAGUAGGGGUUCUGGAAGGAAGGUCCCCCACAUUGGAACUGAGACACGGUCCAAACUCCUACGGGAGGCAGCAGUGAGGAAUAUUGGUCAAUGGGCGAAAGCCUGAACCAGCCUAGUAGCGUGCAGGAUGACGGCCCUAUGGGUUGUAAACUGCUUUUAUACAGGAAUAAAGUUAGCCACGUGUGGUUAUUUGUAGGUACUGUAUGAAUAAGGACCGGCUAAUUCCGUGCCAGCCGCCGCGGUAA